GAUGAACGCUAGCUACAGGCUUAACACAUGCAAGUCGAGGGGAAACGACAUCGAAAGCUUGCUUUUGAUGGGCGUCGACCGGCGCACGGGUGAGUAACGCGUAUCCAACCUGCCCACCACUUGGGGAUAACCUUGCGAAAGUAAGACUAAUACCCAAUGAUAUCCCACGAAGGCAUCCGAAUGGGAUUAAAGAUUUAUCGGUGAUGGAUGGGGAUGCGUCUGAUUAGCUUGUUGGCGGGGUAACGGCCCACCAAGGCGACGAUCAGUAGGGGUUCUGAGAGGAAGGUCCCCCCACAUUGGAACUGAGACACGGUCCAAACUCCUACGGGAGGCAGCAGUGAGGAAUAUUGGUCAAUGGGCGAGAGCCUGAACCAGCCAAGUAGCGUGCAGGAAGACGGCCCUAUGGGUUGUAAACUGCUUUUAUAAGGGAAUAAAGUGGGUCACGUGUGACUUUUUGCAUGUACCUUAUGAAUAAGGACCGGCUAAUUCCGUG
Molecule: ribosomal RNA, 493 nt
Filed under: uncultured bacterium
Lineage: Bacteria
Description: bacterial SSU rRNA
Rfam family: Bacterial small subunit ribosomal RNA
Source: RNAcentral